Molecule: ribosomal RNA, 155 nt
Filed under: Apusomonas proboscidea
Lineage: Eukaryota; Apusomonadida; Apusomonadidae
Description: partial 18S ribosomal RNA
Rfam family: Eukaryotic small subunit ribosomal RNA
Source: RNAcentral
GCUSCUACCGAUUGRAUGDYCCGGUGAGCUCUUCGGACUGACUGGGUCCUUCUGGCAACAGAAGCCCGUGUCGGGAAGUUGCGCUAACCUUAUCAUUUAGAGGAAGGAGAAGUCGUAACAAGGUUUCCGUAGGUGAACCUGCGGAAGGAUCAUUA